This 492-nucleotide ribosomal RNA is filed under the name uncultured bacterium. RNAcentral describes it as "partial 16S ribosomal RNA". It matches the Rfam family "Bacterial small subunit ribosomal RNA", at positions 29 to 507 of the family's 1533-position model. The record is from RNAcentral.
AGUGAACGCUGGCGGUAGGCCUAACACAUGCAAGUCGAACGGCAGCACAGUAAGAGCUUGCUCUUACGGGUGGCGAGUGGCGGACGGGUGCGGAAUACAUCGGAAUCUACUUUUUCGUGGGGGAUAACGUAGGGAAACUUACGCUAAUACCGCAUACGACCUACGGGUGAAAGCAGGGGAUCUUCGGACCUUGCGCGAUUGAAUGAGCCGAUGUCGGAUUAGCUAGUUGGCGGGGUAAAGGCCCACCAAGGCGACGAUCCGUAGCUGGUCUGAGAGGCUGAUCAGCCGCCUUGGAACUGAGACACGGUCCAGACUCCUACGAGAGGCAGCAGUGGGGAAUAUUGGACAACGGGCGCAAGCCUUAUCCAGCCAUCCCGCGUGGGUGACGAAGGCCUUCGGGUUGUAAAGCCCGUUUGUUGGGAAAGAAAAGCAGCAGGUUAAUACCCCGCUGUUCUGACGGUACCCAAUGAAUAAGCACCGGCUAACUUCGUG